Molecule: ribosomal RNA, 253 nt
Filed under: uncultured bacterium
Lineage: Bacteria
Description: partial 16S ribosomal RNA
Rfam family: Bacterial small subunit ribosomal RNA
Source: RNAcentral
GACAGAGGUGCCGAGCGUUAGGCGGAAUCACUGGGCUUAAAGCGUGUGUAGGCGGGCCGUCAAGUGCCUCGUGAAAUCCCGCCGCUCAACGGCGGAACCGCCGGGCAGACUGACGGCCUUGAGGGACCCAGGGGCGAGCGGAACAGGCGGUGGAGCGGUGAAAUGCGCAGAUAUCGGGAGGAACACCAGUAGCGAAGGCGGCUCGCUGGGCCACUCCUGACGCUGAGACGCGAAAGCUAGGGGAGCGAACAGG